UGGGCUGAAAAACAAAAGUAAAACCUCACUCGUCUUUAGUCAUUCGGGGAGUUCUUCAGAUAAGAAUUUGAAUUAGGCUUUCCAAUGAAGGGGCAUUGAAAGUCACAAUUGAGGCGCCAUAUCUCUGAUGAACACCAGGGGUGAUGGACAACACAAUGGUAAAAAUCGUCCCUGUUUCUACAUUUUGUUACCCAUAGGGGUAGUUCCACCGGCCAAUCAGCUGACAAAUGAGGACAUUGCUUAUUUGGACAACUACAUGCAAUGGGUAGGAGACGAAGCGCAGUUUAGGUUACUGAUGAGCAGCUUUUUCAACAUAAACCAGCUACAGGAGGAAGUGCGACAGUGGAUAUCAGCUGAGGAAAGAAAUCCAAUACUAGGCUGAGACGACGGGACUUAUGAAAGUGAUUCAACUUUCCAGGGGUGUUAUGGUCCUUCAAAGGAUCCUUUUUACACGGCAGUUAGGACAACGAGGCAGAGGAGAAACAGCAAGAAUGAUCCUGUGGGUCUAAACAUUUCUGUGCUUCAUACCUGCCCCUGCGAGGCGGCGCUCUAAUGGGUCCGAUCUAGUCUGAUUGUCACCAGGAAAUAAGAACAUUCUUGAUAAAUUUUAGUGAAACAGAUAAAUGUUAUUGAUGUUUGUUAUUCAUGAUUAUUGAACCCUAAUAAACUGCAAAUCUAUGA
Molecule: long non-coding RNA, 681 nt
Organism: Cynoglossus semilaevis (tongue sole)
Lineage: Eukaryota; Metazoa; Chordata; Actinopteri; Pleuronectiformes; Cynoglossidae
Exons: 2
Source: RefSeq, a predicted model, not a curated record